Molecule: ribosomal RNA, 253 nt
Filed under: uncultured bacterium
Lineage: Bacteria
Description: partial 16S ribosomal RNA
Rfam family: Bacterial small subunit ribosomal RNA
Source: RNAcentral
UACGUAGGGGGCAAGCGUUGUCCGGAAUCAUUGGGCGUAAAGAGCGUGUAGGCGGCCAGAUAAGUCCGCUGUGAAAUCUCGAGGCUCAACUUCGAGCUGUCGGUGGAAACUGUCUGGCUAGAGUCCGGAAGAGGAGAAUGGAAUUCCUGGUGUAGCGGUGAAAUGCGCAGAUAUCAGGAAGAACACCCGUGGCGAAGGCGGUUCUCUGGGACGGUAAUGACGCUGAGACGCGAAAGCGUGGGGAGCGAACAGG